UGGAACAAUGUAGGCAAGGAAAGUCGGCAAAAUGGAUACGAAACUUCGUGAAAAGAAAUAUGCUCAGAGUGUUUGGCAUGGGGGUCCUAGUACCGAACCCAUUGGCUGUCGAUGAACUGCAUGAGCUGACCCCGCGGAAAUAGUGGGUCGCCGUGGGACGGACUGGGAACGGUUCCUUUCUUUGGGGCCUUCCCCGGGAGUCAAACAACCAACUCAUAACUGUUACAAACAAGGGGAAUUUGACUAUUUAUUUAAAAUAAAGCAUUGCGAUGGUCCCAACGGAUGUUUACCCACUAUGAUUUUUGUCUAGUGCUAUGAAUGUCAAAGUGAAGAAAUUCAACCAUGCGGGGGUAAACGUCGGAGUAACUAUGACUCUCUGAAGGUAGCCAAAUGCCUCGUCAUCUAAUUAGUGAUGCGUAUGAAUGUAUUAAUAAGAUUCCCACUGUCCCUGUCUAAUAUACAGCGAAACCACAGCCAAGGGAACAUGUUUGGCAGAAUCAGCGGGGAAAGAGGACCCUUUUGAGCUUGAAUCUAGUUCGACUUUAUGAAAUGACUUGAGAGGUGUAGUAUAAGUGGGAGUCGAAAGGCGAAAGUGAAAUACCACUACUUUUAACGUUAUUUUACUUAUUCCGUGAAUCGGAAGAGGGGAACUACCCUCUUUUUGGACCCAAGACUCACUUUGCGGGUCAAUCCGGGGGGAAGACAUUGUCAAGUGGGGAGUUUGGCUGGGGUGGUACAUCUGUUAUAAGAUAACGCAGGUGUCCUAAGAUGAGCUCAACGAAAAUAGAAAAAUCGUGUGGAUCAGAAAGACAAAAGAUCGUUUGAUUCUGAUUUCUAGUACGAAUAGGAACGGUAAAUGCGUGGCCUAACGAUCUUUUAGACCUUCAGAGUUCUAAGCUGGAGGUGUGAGAAAAGUUACCACAAGGAUAACUAGCUUGUGGUAGCCAAGCUAUAUAGCGAAAUUUAUUUUUGAUCCUUCGAUGUCGGCUCUUCUUAUCAUUGUGAAGCAAAAUUCACCAAAGUGUUGGAUUGUUCACCCACAAAUAGGGAACGUGAGCUGGGUUUAGACCAUCGUGAGAGAGGUUAGUUUUACCCCUACUGAUGACAGUGUCGCAAUAGUAAAUUAAACCUAGUAAGAGAGGAACCGUUAAUUCGCAUAAUUUGUCAUCCCGCUUGGUUGAAAAGCUGGUGGCACGAAGCUACCGUGUGAUGGAUUAUGACUAAACGCCUCUAAGGCUUAAUCCAGGCAAGAAGCGACGCAUGCGCCCGCCGUCAGCUUGCCGACCCACAGUAGGGGCCUUUAGCCCCCAAGUGAACGUUUUGUUGGCUAAGUCACCGCGAUGGAAGCGUCGCGGUGACUUCCUUGAAGUACAAUUUCCAUCGAGCGGUGGGUAGUAUCCUCAGCAGAAGACAUAAAAUACACGACGGGGUAUUGUAAGUGGAAGAGUAGCCUUGCUGCCACGAUCCACUGAGAUACAACCGUUUGUCACUUCGAUUC
This 1498-nucleotide non-coding RNA is filed under the name Solanum tuberosum (potato). Its description in RNAcentral is "Eukaryotic large subunit ribosomal RNA". It matches the Rfam family "Eukaryotic large subunit ribosomal RNA", at positions 1891 to 3399 of the family's 3401-position model. The record is from Rfam by way of RNAcentral. Lineage: Eukaryota; Viridiplantae; Streptophyta; Magnoliopsida; Solanales; Solanaceae.